This is a long non-coding RNA of Thunnus maccoyii (southern bluefin tuna), 358 nucleotides long. RefSeq lists it as uncharacterized. NCBI's taxonomy places the organism in Eukaryota, Metazoa, Chordata, Actinopteri, Scombriformes, Scombridae. The transcript has 3 exons. The record is from RefSeq and is a predicted model, not a curated record.
ACUUCUCUAACGUGCUGCUUUUCUGUUUUAUUUAACUGUAAACUGAACAUGAGCGGAUCAAUCAACCUGAUUUCUUCUAAACUGGAAGCUGUGACUGAAUCAUGACUCGGCGAACGGCAGGAAACACACGACUAACUAACGUGAAGUGUGAAGAACAAAGUUCAUGAAAUCUGCAUGAGCUGAAGCUGCCUGAGGGGUGGAAAUACUUUGAGUGACGACAUCUUCCGGAGUUUGUGGAUUUACAUGUGGUGGCAGCAGGAUGAGACCUGAGGAGGUGACGACCGCCAUCACUGACUGUAGAUGGCGCUGUGCUCCCACACUCACAGCUGCAUGUUCAUCUGACUCAGCAAAUACAAGC